Long non-coding RNA from Apodemus sylvaticus (European woodmouse), 924 nucleotides. RefSeq lists it as uncharacterized. The transcript is spliced from 3 exons. The record is from RefSeq and is a predicted model, not a curated record. NCBI's taxonomy places the organism in Eukaryota, Metazoa, Chordata, Mammalia, Rodentia, Muridae.
UGUAAGCCAAAUGAACCCUUUCCUCCCCAAGUUGCUUUGGUCAUAGUGUUUCCUCUCUCACAGCAUUAGUUACCCUGACUAAGACAGCCUCCUAAUUAUCGAUAGGGUUGGUAGCAUGUGACAGGAAGUCCACAUGGCGGCAGCUGAACUACACUGAGGUUUAGACCCUGACAUUACAAAGUAUGCAGGUUCCUGACCAGGACCUGUGUGGCACAGCCGCAAAGCCACCAACUCCUUCUACUUCACUGCACCAUCGCCAGUGUGUGCCCUGUCUUCGUAGCCAAGGAUGGCUCUGGAAGCUACACACAGCUCACCUAGGUCCCUGGACUAGGACGAUGGGAAAGCCAGGAAUGGCGCUUUCUGACUUCUUUCUGACAGCAAACAGCAUUCUGACUUCCCAGGAGAUAUUGCCAGGAAACGUUGCCAGCGCUGGAAACUGAGGUGGGAUCAUUUUAUUGUUCCACAUCAGCGACACCCUGAUCCAGCCUUAAGAUUCGAGAAAGAGUCUACAGUUUCUUCCCACGAUCAUGGCCCAUGUUUCAACAACACACAUGGGUCCUCUUGGCGGAGUAAAGGAGCUGAAAUGAGAGGCAUCCAGGAAUAUGUUGUCCAAGUGCUGUCUGAGUCCUCGCAGGCCCAGGAAUUAUUAUCACAGCAAAAUAAAAUUUAAUACGUCUGAUAACUUUUCAGAGACGCCUGCUAUGUGGAAGAUGCCAGAGAGAUUCAAAGACAAACAGGCUAUGUGUGAUCAGGGCUCAAACAGCUAUCACCUGCUUACCACGCCCACACCACCAGGCCCUCCCCACCAGACCUCUUCUGCAGGUCCAAGAAACAGAGCAGACAAAAUACUAUGGAAAGAGUAUAGAGUUUGGGGAUUUUUGGUUUGGUUUGGUUUGGUUUUCCUAAAUUCUUUAGACAAAUUGC